This is a long non-coding RNA of Piliocolobus tephrosceles (Ugandan red Colobus), 1615 nucleotides long. RefSeq lists it as uncharacterized. The record is from RefSeq and is a predicted model, not a curated record. Lineage: Eukaryota; Metazoa; Chordata; Mammalia; Primates; Cercopithecidae. The transcript is spliced from 3 exons.
GGAGAAGGGGAGGGUGCCCUGAGGGAGGGAGGACUCUGCAGAGGGAUGGGCAGCCAAGAGUUGAUCCACCUGUACAGGGAAUCUCCUUGGUGAUCCUGAAUCCAUUUGUGAGUCCAGGAUGUCUUGGUGGUGGCACAACAUCAGGCCUCUGAAAUAGGGAAAGCGUAGACUUGACCCCUGUGAACUAUGCUUUGGAAGUAAAUGAUGAAGGAGAAAUAAAGAAUAAUGCGGGUCCAGCCCACGGGACUGCUCUCUGUGUUUCUUGAGAAGCAUGCAUGUUCUCCUGGUCCCGUCUGCCUUCUGCUUCAGGCCCUGGAGGAACUUCCAGCUUUGCCACCGAAGGAAAAAGAUCCCUUCAGAUCCCCAGUUCUUGGGCAGGUGCUUCCCAGGUGGAACAGAGCCAGCGCUUUCUUCUUCACUGGGCCUCCCUUGGCUUAUCUGGGCUCCUCUUUGAUCUAUUGUCUGACGGAUAUUGGAGGUUUCUUGAAAAAUCCUCCUUUGUUUACCCAAUAGCAGUGAAGUCCUCGAGUAAACUGUCUUUUACCAGUGUUCUCCCGCAGGCAUUGCGCACAGGUAGUCUGAAGGCUGUGGUGCUGUUGCCUUGGAGAGGUGUUGGGAGAGGCCUUUUAACAUCUAACGAGUAGGUGUCACACUGUGGCAGAAAUGGGGGCUGCAGGCAGGGACCACUUGCUUGUGGAAUUGGAGAGCAGAGAAAACGAGGCAGGAUGAGAGGUGGAAGGAGGACAGAGAAGUGGACGUUUGGCACAUCCCGGUGGAGAGAACUCUGUCCCUGGGUGAGGUUCAAAAUCCAUAUCAGGGUUUUCUCUGAAUUCUGGUCAAGUGAAAGCCACAGGACUAUUCUAGCAGCCAAAGGGAAAGGCCAGCCAGGCAUGAUGGGGUGAGGGGUGCUUGGAGAUGCAGUGGGGAGGGCGGUGAGUGGAGAGUGGAGAGGUAUAGGUGCGGAGAGGCAGAGGUGAGGCAAAUGGUGUGGCAAGGAGCUCCCUGGGAGAUGGUGGAAUUGAGGGGUGGAACCAUAGUGGGGUUGGCUUGUGGGAGCUUUUACCCUGGACCCACAUGAGAAUGAUCUAGGGAAUUAAAAAAUAUCCGAAUGUGGUCCAGGCGCAGUGGCUCACGCCUGUAAUACCAACACUUUAGGAGGCCGAGGUGAUAGGGAAGGGGGCAGGGAAGUGCUGGGAGGAGAAGGGCAGGUCUCCGGCGGGGGCUCCACCCCUGGGCCUGGGCCCACUGACUAGGUGAGGACAGGCACUCCUGCCUUCAUGUCCCGAUGUUGCAUUUCCCAAGACCAUCCUGGCCUGCCAUGCCCCCAUCCUGUGCCUGUAAAAACCCGAGACCCUAGCAGGCAAGCACACAAGUGGCUGAACGUGGCCAGGAACACAUCGACGGAAGAAGACGCAAGCGGCUCGACAUUGACAGGCCUCCGAGGGGAGCACGCCGGCACGUCUGCAGGACUUCCACCCGCGAAACCACACAGAGUUUGGCUGGGGCGGUCAGGACCACUGAGCGGCUCGACUUCAGAGGCACAUCAUCUCCCUUCUGGCUCCCCCAUCUGCUGAGAGCUACUUCCACUCAAUAAAACCUUGCACCCGUUCUCCAA